GCGUAGGCGGUCUUUCAAGUCAGGAGUGAAAGGCUACGGCUCAACCGUAGUAAGCUCUUGAAACUGGGAGACUUGAGUGCAGGAGAGGAGAGUGGAAUUCCUAGUGUAGCGGUGAAAUGCGUAGAUAUUAGGAGGAACACCAGUGGCGAAGGCGGCUCUCUGGACUGUAACUGACGCUGAGGCACGAAAGCGUGGGGAGCAAACAGGAUUAGAUACCCUGGUAGUCCACGCUGUAAACGAUGAGUACUAGGUGUCGGGGGUUACCCCCUUCG
Molecule: ribosomal RNA, 272 nt
Filed under: Clostridioides difficile
Lineage: Bacteria; Bacillati; Bacillota; Clostridia; Peptostreptococcales; Peptostreptococcaceae
Description: partial 16S ribosomal RNA
Rfam family: Bacterial small subunit ribosomal RNA
Source: RNAcentral